ACGGAAGGCAGCAGUGGGGGAUAUUGCACAAUGGGGGAAACCCUGAUGCAGCGACGCCGCGUGAGUGAUGAAGUAUUUCGGUAUGUAAAGCUCUAUCAGCAGGGAAGAAAAUGACGGUACCUGACUAAGAAGCACCGGCUAAAUACGUGCCAGCAGCCGCGGUAAUACGUAUGGUGCAAGCGUUAUCCGGAUUUACUGGGUGUAAAGGGAGCGUAGACGGCAUAGCAAGCCAGAUGUGAAAGGUGGGGGCUCAACCCCCAAGCUGCAUUUGGAACUGUUAAGCUAGAGUAUCGGAGAGGUAAGUGGAAUUCCUAGUGUAGCGGUGAAAUGCGUAGAUAUUAGGAGGAACACCAGUGGCGAAGGCGGCUUACUGGACGAUAACUGACGUUGAGGCUCGAAAGCGUGGGGAGCAAACAGGAUUAGAUACCCUGGUA
RNAcentral lists this ribosomal RNA (434 nucleotides) under uncultured bacterium. RNAcentral describes it as "partial 16S ribosomal RNA". It matches the Rfam family "Bacterial small subunit ribosomal RNA", at positions 341 to 792 of the family's 1533-position model. The record is from RNAcentral.